RNAcentral lists this ribosomal RNA (460 nucleotides) under uncultured bacterium. Its description in RNAcentral is "partial 16S ribosomal RNA". It matches the Rfam family "Bacterial small subunit ribosomal RNA", at positions 338 to 795 of the family's 1533-position model. The record is from RNAcentral.
CCUACGGGAGGCUGCAGUGAGGAAUAUUGGUCAAUGGACGGAAGUCUGAACCAGCCAAGUAGCGUGCGGGAUGAAGGCCCUACGGGUCGUAAACCGCUUUUGCACGGGGAUAAAACCCUCCACUUGUGGAGUUCUGCAUGUACCGUGCGAAUAAGGACCGGCUAAUUCCGUGCCAGCAGCCGCGGUAAUACGGAAGGCCCGAGCGUUAUCCGGAUUUAUUGGGUUUAAAGGGAGCGUAGGCGGACCGUUAAGUCAGCUGUUAAAUUCGGCGGCUCAACCGCGCACCCGCAGUGGAACCGGGAAGUCUGGAGUACAGAACAGGCAGGCGGAAUUCGUGGUGUAGCGGUGAAAUGCAUAGAUAUCACGAGGAACCCCGAUUGCGAAGGCAGCCUGCCGGAGUGCGACUGACACUGAGGCUCGAAGGUGCGGGUAUCAAACAGGAUUAGAUACCCGGGUAGUC